Molecule: ribosomal RNA, 497 nt
Filed under: uncultured bacterium
Lineage: Bacteria
Description: partial 16S ribosomal RNA
Rfam family: Bacterial small subunit ribosomal RNA
Source: RNAcentral
GAUGAACGCUGGCGGCGUGCCUAAUACAUGCCAGUCGAGCGAACAGACGAGGAGCUUGCUCCUCUGACGUUAGCGGCGGACGGGUGAGUAACACGUGGAUAACCUACCUAUAAGACUGGGAUAACUUCGGGAAACCGGAGCUAAUACCGGAUAAUAUGUUGAACCGCAUGGUUCAAUAGUGAAAGACGGUUUUGCUGUCACUUAUAGAUGGAUCCGCGCCGCAUUAGCUAGUUGGUAAGGUAACGGCUUACCAAGGCAACGAUGCGUAGCCGACCUGAGAGGGUGAUCGGCCACACUGGAACUGAGACACGGUCCAGACUCCUACGGGAGGCAGCAGUAGGGAAUCUUCCGCAAUGGGCGAAAGCCUGACGGAGCAACGCCGCGUGAGUGAAGAAGGUCUUCGGAUCGUAAAACUCUGUUAUUAGGGAAGAACAAAUGUGUAAGUAACUAUGCACGUCUUGACGGUACCUAAUCAGAAAGCCACGGCUAACUACGUG